Molecule: ribosomal RNA, 26 nt
Filed under: Halimeda opuntia
Lineage: Eukaryota; Viridiplantae; Chlorophyta; Ulvophyceae; Bryopsidales; Halimedaceae
Also listed under: 2 other names
Description: partial 18S ribosomal RNA
Source: RNAcentral
CCUGCGAAAGGAUCAUUAUCGGCACA